RNAcentral lists this unclassified non-coding RNA (383 nucleotides) under uncultured bacterium. Its description in RNAcentral is "contains 16S-23S intergenic spacer region". The record is from RNAcentral.
UCCGGCUUGUCACCGGCAGUUUCUGCAGAGUGCCCGGCAUUAUCCGCUGGCAACUGCAGAUGAGGGUUGCGCUCGUUGCGGGACUUAACCCAACAUCUCACGACACGAGCUGACGACAGCCAUGCAGCACCUGUGCUCCGGCCAGCCGAACUGAAGAACGGGGUCUCCCCCGCCCAUACCGGACAUGUCAAACCCAGGUAAGGUUCUUCGCGUUGCCUCGAAUUAAACCACACGCUCCGCUGCUUGUGCGGGCCCCCGCCUAUUCCUUUGAGUUUUAACCUUGCGGCCGUAGUCCCCAGGCGGUGAACUUAAUGCGUUAGCUGCGGCACUGAUCGGGUCAAUCCGACCAACACCUAGUUCACAACGUUUAGGGCGUGGACUAC